CUGCGAAUGGCUCAUUAUAUAAGUUAUCGUUUAUUUGAUAGCACUCUUCUACUCGGAUAACUGUGGUAAUUCUAGAGCUAAUACGUGCUGAAAAUCCCAACUUCGGAAGGGCUGUAUUUAUUAGAUUAAAAACCAACGCCCCUCGGGGCUUCUUGGUGAUUCAUGAUAACUUCUCGAAUCGCAUGGCCUUGCGCCGGCGAUGGUUCAUUCAAAUUUCUUCCCUAUCAACUUUCGAUGCGAGGGUAUUGUCCUCGCAUGGUUACAACGGGUAACGGAGGGUUAGGGCUCGACCCCGGAGAAGGAGCCUGAGAAACGGCUACUACAUCCAAGGAAGGCAGCAGGCGCGCAAAUUACCCAAUCCCGACACGGGGAGGUAGUGACAAUAAAUACUGAUACAGGGCUCUUUUGGGUCUUGUAAUCGGAAUGAGUACAAUUUAAAUCCCUUAACGAGGAACAAUUGGAGGGCAAGUCUGGUGCCAGCAGCCGCGGUAAUUCCAGCUCCAAUAGCGUAUAUUAAAGUUGUUGUGGUUAAAAAGCUCGUAGUUGAACCUUGGGCCUGGCUACAAGGACCGCCUCACCGCGAGAUCUUUUCGUAGCCGGGUCUUUCCCGCUGUGGAACCCCAUGGCCUUCACUGGUCGUGGCGGGGAAACAGGACUUUUACUUUGAAAAAAUUAGAGUGCUCCAGGCAGGCCUAUGCUCGAAUACAUUAGCAUGGAAUAAUAAAAUAGGACGCGUGGUUCUAUUUUGUUGGUUUCUAGGACCGCCGUAAUGAUUAAUAGGGACAGUCGGGGGCAUCAGUAUUCAAUUGUCAGAGGUGAAAUUCUUGGAUCUAUUGAAGACUAACUACUGCGAAAGCAUUUGCCAAGGAUGUUUUCAUUGAUAAGGAACGAAAGUUAGGGGAUCGAAGACGAUCAGAUACCGUCGUAGUCUUAACUAUAAACUAUGCCGACUAGGGAUCGGACGAUGUUAUAUUUUGACUCGUUCGGCACCUUUCGAGAAAUCAA
Molecule: ribosomal RNA, 1005 nt
Filed under: Okeanomyces marinus
Lineage: Eukaryota; Fungi; Ascomycota; Sordariomycetes; Microascales; Halosphaeriaceae
Description: SSU rRNA
Rfam family: Eukaryotic small subunit ribosomal RNA
Source: RNAcentral